AUUGAACGCUGGCGGCAUGCCUUACACAUGCAAGUCGAACGGCAGCGCGGGGCAACCUGGCGGCGAGUGGCGAACGGGUGAGUAAUAUAUCGGAACAUACCCUAGAGUGGGGAUAACGUAGCGAAAGUUACGCUAAUACCGCAUACGCACUAAGGUGGAAAGUGGGGGAUCUUCGGACCUCAUGCUCAUGGAGUGGCCGAUAUCUGAUUAGCUAGUUGGUGAGGUAAAGGCUCACCAAGGCGACGAUCAGUAGCUGGUUUGAGAGAACGACCAGCCACACUGGAACUGAGGCACGGUCCAGACUCCUACGGAGGCAGCAGUGGGGAAUUUUGGACAAUGGGGGCAACCCUGAUCCAGCAAUGCCGCGUGAGUGAAGAA
This 378-nucleotide ribosomal RNA is filed under the name uncultured bacterium. Its description in RNAcentral is "bacterial SSU rRNA". It matches the Rfam family "Bacterial small subunit ribosomal RNA", at positions 30 to 412 of the family's 1533-position model. The record is from RNAcentral.